UGUGUUGAGAGGAGUCACUGGAGGAUUCAGUGGUAAACUCUGUCUCAUUCUCUCUACGUCUCUGCGAUGAUCUGUCAUUCUCAAACGCUCCUGAGAGAAAACACAGCGUGAACACAGUUUGGAAAGUUCUUCUUUUCUUCCUGAGUCUUUCCUCUGAACGGGAGCUGAACUUGGUUUCUUCUUGGAGCUAAACAGGUUUUGUAUAGCGUUUCUCACCUCAUCUGUAUUCACAGCCUCUUCAGCCAGUUUAGUGAAGAAAUCAUCAUCUAACAUCGACCUGAAACACAACACACACAGUUAUGAUAAGAGCUGUGAUUGAGAAAUACUGAAGAUGCUUUAGCUCUGUUUACUGCCUCACUUCAUCUCUCAGACUGCUGGUGUUUAUUAAGAUGCUUCGUGACGAACAUCUAUAUGUGCUUAUGCACGUUGUCCAACACAAGCUACAUGUAUAAAAAACCUGACUGAAGGUCAAAGCAAGUGUUUCCCAUGAAUGAUGUGGUCACUAUUAACCAAUCAACAUUCAGCUGCAUGUGUACAGUAGCGCUUACCUCUUCCCACUGCGUGAUGCGAGGAUGCCUGCAGGUCUGCUGGAUCCGGCAGUUGGAGAUCGGACCUUGACCGGGCCUGUUGAACACAGAAACUUACUUUAAAAUAAUUCAGCAUAUUUAAGGAGAACUGACAUUUAUAUCCAGAAAGAGACUCAUACCAUCAUCAUUAUCAUCUCCCAGAAGAUCUCCUAACACAUCAUCUAUAGAGCCUGAGAGAAAGACACAAUUACAGUUAAUUCAAUAAAAUACUAGCAUUAGAGAUAUAUUUAGUACAAGACUUACCUCGAAGCCCCUUUUUCUGUUUUGAACUCUGCAAAAGAUGAAUAUGAUCAAACUUCAAUUUAUCAGACUUUACAACAACAACGUUAUGCAUGCUAAAUAGCAAUAGCACUGUAUAACUGCACACUGUUCCCCAAAACAAGUAAGUACUAAUAAUACAUACUAACCUGCACAUUACUUAUUACAUGUUUAUGUCAACUGGGCUACGAUUUAGUUUAAGGACACAAUUGAUCAAUCAUAAAUUAACCUUUCAGCUAACUUACCAACCCAUUACUGUAAAUUAUUACUUGUUUUGUAUGCAAUAUGUUACAGUGUACUUCAUUUUGUUAUUGAUCUGUAUUAUGCACUUAUGUUAUACUUGAUAAAAACAAGGAA
This is a long non-coding RNA of Misgurnus anguillicaudatus (oriental weatherfish), 1202 nucleotides long. RefSeq lists it as uncharacterized. NCBI's taxonomy places the organism in Eukaryota, Metazoa, Chordata, Actinopteri, Cypriniformes, Cobitidae. The record is from RefSeq and is a predicted model, not a curated record.